This 608-nucleotide long non-coding RNA is filed under the name Mytilus galloprovincialis (Mediterranean mussel). The record is from RNAcentral. Lineage: Eukaryota; Metazoa; Mollusca; Bivalvia; Mytilida; Mytilidae.
GCCUAAGCCUUAUUUUAGUAAUUGGUAUUGUCAUCUGAUAAAGUCAUGUCGAUUAUAAGAUACACAGUUUUUUUUGCUUUCAAAUCUUUCUGUUUGAACCCGUCGACCUGGAACUUAUCAAUUAUUGGUAAUAUUAAUUAUUUGGAAAACAAAAGGUCCUGGCUAUCCAGGAAUGGAGUAUUUUUUAAUCAACAGCAUUGUCCUAUAUUAGUUAUCUUAGAAAGUCUUGCUGAUUGCUGAAUAAAACUACAAUAGGGAACAAUUUGACAAUGAUAGAAUUUAGUAGUGUCAGCCCUUUGAUUAUGACCCGUGUAUAUAGCAAAAUCCUAAAUACACCGUUUGGUGGUGCGCCUGUCAAAUGCGGAACGUACAGAUAAGGUAAUAGCUAACAGGUGAAUAUACUAUUGGUAUCGGUAUCGGAUUCGACCCGGAACUUGUUAAUUAUUGGCAAUAUUAAUUAUGUGGAAAACAAAAGGGUCUGGAGUGGUGUAAUUUUUAAUCUACACCAUUGUCCUAUAUUAGUUCUAUAUAGAGUUGAAUUCUUUGAUUUGUCGUUUUUACCCGAUGACGGCUGACAAAUUGGACAUCGUAAUUUUAGUAUUAUAGAU